This 537-nucleotide ribosomal RNA is filed under the name uncultured bacterium. RNAcentral describes it as "bacterial SSU rRNA". It matches the Rfam family "Bacterial small subunit ribosomal RNA", at positions 102 to 674 of the family's 1533-position model. The record is from RNAcentral.
ACGGGUGAGUAACACGUGGGAAACUACCCUUUGGUGCGGAAUAACACAGAGAAAUUUGUGCUAAUACCGCAUGAGCUCUUCGGAGGAAAGAUUUAUCGCCAAAGGAUGUGCCCGCGUCCGAUUAGCUAGUUGGUGAGGUAAUGGCUCACCAAGGCGACGAUCGGUAGCUGGUCUGAGAGGAUGAUCAGCCACACUGGGACUGAGACACGGCCCAGACUCCUACGGGAGGCAGCAGUGGGGAAUAUUGGACAAUGGGCGCAAGCCUGAUCCAGCCAUGCCGCGUGAGUGAUGAAGGCCUUAGGGUUGUAAAGCUCUUUCGCCCGCGAGGAUAAUGACGGUAGCGGGAUAAGAAGCCCCGGCUAACUUCGUGCCAGCAGUCGCGGUAAUACGAAGGGGGCUAGCGUUGUUCGGAAUCACUGGGCGUAAAGCGCACGUAGGCGGACUUUUAAGUCAGAGGUGAAAGCCUGGAGCUCAACUUCAGAACUGCCUUUGAUACUGGAAGUCUUGAGUCCGGUAGAGGUGAGUGGAACUGCUAGU